UACAGAGGGUGCAAGCGUUGUUCGGAAUUAUUGGGCGUAAAGGGCUCGUAGGCGGCCAACUAAGUCAGACGUGAAAUCCCUCGGCUUAACCGGGGAACUGCGUCUGAUACUGGUUGGCUUGAGUGUGGGAGAGGGAUGCGGAAUUCCAGGUGUAGCGGUGAAAUGCGUAGAUAUCUGGAGGAACACCGGUGGCGAAGGCGGCAUCCUGGACCAUUACUGACGCUGAGGAGCGAAAGCCAGGGGAGCAAACGGG
This 253-nucleotide ribosomal RNA is filed under the name uncultured bacterium. Its description in RNAcentral is "partial 16S ribosomal RNA". It matches the Rfam family "Bacterial small subunit ribosomal RNA", at positions 524 to 776 of the family's 1533-position model. The record is from RNAcentral.